AUAUCAAUAGGCGGAGGAAAAGAAACUAACAAGGAUUCCCCUAGUAACUGCGAGUGAAGCGGGAAGAGCUCAAAUUUAAAAUCUGGCGUGCCUCUGGUCGUCCGAGUUGUAGUCUGGAGAAGCGUUUUCCGUGUUGGACCGUGUACAAGUCCCUUGGAACAGGGCGUCAUAGAGGGUGAGAAUCCCGUCUUUGACACGGACUACCAAUGCUCUGUGAUGCGCUCUCAAAGAGUCGAGUUGUUUGGGAAUGCAGCUCAAAAUGGGUGGUAAAUUCCAUCUAAAGCUAAAUACAGGCGAGAGACCGAUAGCGAACAAGUACCGUGAGGGAAAGAUGAAAAGCACUUUGGAAAGAGAGUUAAACAGUACGUGAAAUUGCUGAAAGGGAAACGCUUGAAGUCAGUCGCGUCUGCCAGGACUCAGCCUUGCUUCUGCUUGGUGCACUUUCUGGUUGGAUGGGCCAACAUCAAUUUUGACUGUUGGAGAAAGGCCUUGGGAAUGUGGCACCUUCGGGUGUGUUAUAGCCCUCGGUUGUAUGCAACGGUUGGGAUUGAGGACCGCAGCACGCCUUCAUGGCCGGGGUUCGCCCACGUACGUGCUUAGGAUGUUGGCAUAAUGGCUUUAAGCGACCCGUCUUGAAACACGGACCAAGGAGUCUAACAUGCCUGCGAGUGUUUGGGUGGAAAACCCAUGCGCGUAAUGAAAGUGAUAGCUGAGAUCCUCUCAUCAGGAGCAUCAGCGCCUGGACUUGAUCUACGGAGACGGUUCUACGGUAGAGCAUGUAUGUUGGGACCCGAAGAUGGUGAACUAUGCUGAUAGGGUGAGCAGAGGAAACUCUGGUGAGCUCGGUAACGAAUCUGACGUGCAAUCGAUCGUCAAUUGGGGCUAUAUAGGGGGGCGCGA
RNAcentral lists this ribosomal RNA (900 nucleotides) under Thelephoraceae sp. CT3-1OL. RNAcentral describes it as "eukaryotic LSU rRNA". It matches the Rfam family "Eukaryotic large subunit ribosomal RNA", at positions 40 to 930 of the family's 3401-position model. Lineage: Eukaryota; Fungi; Basidiomycota; Agaricomycetes; Thelephorales; Thelephoraceae. The record is from RNAcentral.